CUGCUCUCUGCUUUCUUCAUCUCCAGGUCUCCCAUCUGUCCCUGUCUCUACCAUCCUCAUCCUCACUCUGUCUCUCCAUGGGAGUCAUGUCCUCCCCCAGGUUCCUGUCACUUCAUCUGCUUGGAGCCUUGCUGCUGCCGCUGCUGCUGCUGCCUGGUUCUUGGGCCCAGCAUUAUGAUGAUUUCACAUCAUCUCCAGAUUACGACUCUGACUACAACUCCACCUUUGAGUACAGCUUCUUCAGUAAUACGAGCAGCGAGGACCUGGACAGACUUGUGGAACGCUACCUCGAUCCAGACGAAACUACGGAGGACACUGGAGGACCAGAGGAGGAAGUGGCUGUAACCAUGGUGAUUACAAGAAGAACAACAGAGGGGGUCAACGCUCACGGCACUGCACCAUUUCAGGUUUCUGUGGUCAGGCUGAGAACUCUGCUGAGCCUCAUGGUUCACCAAACCCUGAGUCAAAGCCAAACCUUCAGAGGCAGCCGAUGGAAGACAGCACACUGCUCAGUAGACCAUUCAACACUUUAUUACUUCUAGAAGGGAGAUGCGUCCUGCACAACACGUUGCUGCAGAUCUCAAAAUGCUGGUGUGCCCCUUUAUUACAGAAGCUCUCUCAUUCUAGUCUAAACAACAGUGUCGCAGUAACUUUCCACCAGAGAUGCUCCCCUCUUAUCUACUUUUUCCCAGGCGUGAGCGAGAGUCUGCAGCUCUCUACUCCCCAAGGACACACGGUCUCAUGCCUUUAUUUUCAGGGCUGUGUCCACUACUACACUAUAUAACUUUAUAACACUUAUUAAUAAAAAAGCAUAGAUUAUUGAGGCACUGAAAAAUUAUUUAUUCCCCACAGUUAUUUAACAUAUAAUCACAGUAAACUAGUAAUAACAAAACAACUAACAAGCUUCAUGGUCAAACUUUCUAACAAAAACAAUAAAUAUGUUGUCAAAUGUCACUUAUGACCCACUGAAGAUGAUGAUGAAGACUAUUUAACCGUUUAACAAGCUGAUGAUGUGUUUACUGUCUGCAGGAAAUCAGGACGCUGCUCUGGACUCUGGUGAUCCUGUUGGUCCUGCAGCAGCUGCAACACACACUCUGGUGACAGGUGUCGAGACAAGCCCCUCAGCUCCGUCCUCAGUGAACAUGGCUCCUCAUGGGAGCAGGUGGACCAAUCACAGAGCUUCUUUCCUGAACCAUUUCAGAAAGUUUGCAGACAAACGCCUGGAAGAUUUCACUACGUGGUGACAUUUUUAUUAUACGUAAAGAAGUUUUUUGAUGGAACUGCUGAAUAAGCCAUACUUUAGAAAAGAUGUUUAUAUUUGUAAUAAAAAGAUGUUUUUAAAGACAAUAUGAAGUUAUUUUGUGUCCUUAUUGUGCAAACAAACAACAUAAGUGUUUGUAGUUGAGUGCAAACAAGCACUGUGUUACAGAAUAAACAUGUUGAUGGACGGGGUCAGCGGGGGCCUGGAGCUUUCAUUUUUUCUCCAAAUCACAAGUGUUGUUGGCUGAACUGUGAAACGUCAGCUGAAAGAUUUCUAUUACAGCAGAACCGUCACUGUGCAAACGUUUGCAUCUGUUCAUAUUCAGGAUCCAGGAGCGGAUUUGGAUCCACAGUUUAAUCACAGAUUUAUUUGACUUGCGAUACAUUUUUGAUUGUGCUGUUUAUAGUUUUCCUCUAAAUCCUGUUUGUUUGCAUAAAAAAGACACAAAAGUGACAGAAUAAAAACACGAUUGUAUGAAUGAGCAUAUUUGCAGAUACAUUUAUAUAUAAACAAAUAAAGAUGAAGUAUUUAAAGUGGACCCCAGCAUCCUCCGUGGUUACAAUCAUCAGUUUGUCAGCGACAUGUUUGAUUGUUUAUUUGGAUGUUUG
This is a long non-coding RNA of Astatotilapia calliptera (eastern happy), 1869 nucleotides long. The record is from Ensembl. Lineage: Eukaryota; Metazoa; Chordata; Actinopteri; Cichliformes; Cichlidae.